Molecule: ribosomal RNA, 219 nt
Filed under: Triticum aestivum (bread wheat)
Lineage: Eukaryota; Viridiplantae; Streptophyta; Magnoliopsida; Poales; Poaceae
Description: partial small subunit ribosomal RNA
Source: RNAcentral
AUGAACAUCACUCUUCUCUCCCGCUGGCUCUGGCGCAUCGCCCAGGGCCAUGGCGGCCUCUGGUUGGACAUUAUCCGGAAUAAAUACCUUCGGGGUCAACCCCUUGCCUUCUGCCAGAGAUCGGGCGGCUCCCAGUUCUGGCAGUCCAUUGUUCAGCUUCUCCCAGUGCUGCGCAUUGGGACCUCCAUCUCGGUGGGCUCUGGCCUCUCGACUCUCUUC